RNAcentral lists this ribosomal RNA (453 nucleotides) under uncultured bacterium. RNAcentral's name for it is "bacterial SSU rRNA". It matches the Rfam family "Bacterial small subunit ribosomal RNA", at positions 340 to 786 of the family's 1533-position model. The record is from RNAcentral.
UACGGGAGGCAGCAGUGGGGAAUAUUGCACAAUGGGCGCAAGCCUGAUGCAGCCAUGCCGCGUGUAUGAAGAAGGCCUUCGGGUUGUAAAGUACUUUCAGUCGUGAGGAAGGUGUUAAGGUUAAUAACCUUAGCAAUUGACGUUAGCGACAGAAGAAGCACCGGCUAACUCCGUGCCAGCAGCCGCGGUAAUACGGAGGGUGCGAGCGUUAAUCGGAAUUACUGGGCGUAAAGGGCACGCAGGCGGUUAAUUAAGUUGGAUGUGAAAUCCCCGGGCUUAACCUGGGAAUGGCAUUCAAGACUGGUUAGCUAGAGUCUUGUAGAGGGGGCAGAAUUCCAUGUGUAGCGGUGAAAUGCGUAGAGAUGUGGAGGAAUACCGGUGGCGAAGGCGGCCCCUGGACAAAGACUGACGCUCAUGUGCGAAAGCGUGGGGAGCAAACAGGGAUUAGAUACC